RNAcentral lists this ribosomal RNA (410 nucleotides) under uncultured Methylomirabilota bacterium. RNAcentral's name for it is "bacterial SSU rRNA". It matches the Rfam family "Bacterial small subunit ribosomal RNA", at positions 1025 to 1434 of the family's 1533-position model. Lineage: Bacteria; Methylomirabilota (SeqCode). The record is from RNAcentral.
AGCGUGGAGACAGGUGGUGCAUGGCUGUCGUCAGCUCGUGUCGUGAGAUGUUGGGUUAAGUCCCGCAACGAGCGCAACCCUCACCCCUUGUUGCCACCGGGUCAGGCUGGGCACUCUAGGGGAACUGCCCCGGUCAACGGGGAGGAAGGUGGGGAUGACGUCAAGUCAUCAUGCCCCUUACGUCCUGGGCUACACACGUGCUACAAUGGCCGGUACAAAGGGAUGCAAGACUGCGAGGUGGAGCUAAACCCAAAAAGCCGGCCUAAGUUCAGAUUGGAGUCUGCAACUCGACUCCAUGAAGGAGGAAUCGCUAGUAAUCGCGCAUCAGCACGGCGCGGUGAAUACGUUCCCGGGCCUUGUACACACCGCCCGUCACACCACGAAAGCCAGCUGUACUCGAAGUCGCUGAG